CGGACGGGUGAGUAACGCGUGAGAAUCUGCCUUCAGGAGGGGGAUAACGGCUGGAAACGGCCGCUAAUACCCCAUAUGCCGCGAGGUGAAAUGAGAAAUCGCCUGAGGAUGAGCUCGCGUCUGAUUAGCUAGUUGGUGGGGUAAGAGCCUACCAAGGCAUCGAUCAGUAGCUGGUCUGAGAGGAUGAUCAGCCACACUGGGACUGAGACACGGCCCAGACUCCUACGGGAGGCAGCAGUGGGGAAUUUUCCGCAAUGGGCGCAAGCCUGACGGAGCAACGCCGCGUGAGGGAUGAAGGCCUCUGGGCUGUAAACCUCUUUUCUCAAGGAAGAAGAACUGACGGUACUUGAGGAAUAAGCCACGGCUAAUUCCGUGCCAGCAGCCGCGGUAAUACGGGAGUGGCAAGCGUUAUCCGGAAUUAUUGGGCGUAAAGCGUCCGCAGGCGGUCUUGAAAGUCUGUUGUUAAAGCGUGGAGCUCAACUCCAUUUCAGCAAUGGAAACUAGAAGACUAGAGUGUGGUAGGGGCAGAGGGAAUUCCCGGUGUAGCGGUGAAAUGCGUAGAUAUCGGGAAGAACACCAGUGGCGAAGGCGCUCUGCUGGGCCAUAACUGACGCUCAUGGACGAAAGCCAGGGGAGCGAAAGGGAUUAGAUACCCCUGUAGUCCUGGCCGUAAACGAUGAACACUAGGUGUCGGGGGAAUCGACCCCCUCGGUGUCGUAGCCAACGCGUUAAGUGUUCCGCCUGGGGAGUACGCACGCAAGUGUGAAACUCAAAGGAAUUGACGGGGGCCCGCACAAGCGGUGGAGUAUGUGGUUUAAUUUGGAUCAACGCGAAGAACCUUACCAGGGUUUGACAUCCCUGCGAAUCUUUUGGAAAACCAGAAGAGUGCCUUCGGGAGCGCAGAGACAGGUGGUGCAUGGCUGUCGUCAGCUCGUGUCGUGAGAUGUUGGGUUAAGUCCCGCAACGAGCGCAACCCACGUCUUUAGUUGCCCAGCAUUGAGUUGGGCACUCUAGAGAGACCGCCGGUGAUAAACCGGAGGAAGGUGUGGAUGACGUCAAGUCAUCAUGCCCCUUACAUCCUGGGCUACACACGUACUACAAUGCUACGGACAGAGGGCAGCAAACUCGCGAGAGCUAGCAAAUCCCAUAAACCGUGGCUCAGUUCAGAUCGUAGGCUGCAACUCGCCUACGUGAAGGAGGAAUCGCUAGUAAUCGCAGGUCAGCAUACUGCGGUGAAUACGUUCCCGGGCCUUGUACACACCGCCCGUCACACCAUGGAAGUUGGCCAUGCCCGAAGUCGUUACUCCAACCCUUGUGGAGGAGGACGCCGAAGGUGGGGCUGAUGACUGGGGGAA
This 1355-nucleotide ribosomal RNA is filed under the name Cyanobium sp. LEGE 06011. RNAcentral's name for it is "bacterial SSU rRNA". It matches the Rfam family "Bacterial small subunit ribosomal RNA". The record is from RNAcentral. Lineage: Bacteria; Bacillati; Cyanobacteriota; Cyanophyceae; Synechococcales; Prochlorococcaceae.